Microcebus murinus (gray mouse lemur) is the source of this 517-nucleotide non-coding RNA. Lineage: Eukaryota; Metazoa; Chordata; Mammalia; Primates; Cheirogaleidae. The record is from RefSeq and is a predicted model, not a curated record.
UUCCAAAAAUGCAAGACCUAACCCCAAUCCCUACCCUGGAUCUCUGACAAAUCUCUGAAGCUUGGGUAAGAGGGGCUUGGCAAAGCAGCAAGAAAAAUGACCAGCAUUUCCUUGGCAGUACCGGUGUCACCUUCCAUUUGGUUUUAUUGGGAUGCCUGUGACCUAAUGAGGGUGGUGAGGAACCCCACUCUCUCCAUAACUCCAGAAAAGACAGCAGGUCGGCAGCACAAUCAGUGUUUGGAUAGACAGUGUCCUUGGCCAUCACUGUCAGUCAGAUCUUCAGCCUUGAGGGAAGUCAGCUGCCGUGCUGUGAUCUGCUCUAUGGGGAGCCCAUAUGGCCAGGAACCAAAGGAGGCCUCUAGACAUUGAAUCCUGCCAACAACCACUUGAGUGGGCUUACAAACGAUCCACCCCAGCAAGCCUUAAGGUGAUGACAGCCCCAGCCAAUACCUUGCAGUCUUAGGAGAAAACAAAGCCAGGGGACUCAGCUAACCUCACAUGCAGGUUCCUGAUCCAC